GAAAUGUGACGUUACGCAGACGACCGCGUUUCUUCUCAACAUCGCAAAGUCAACUGUUCUCAAGUAAGUAGGCUUUUUUCGUUUUCAUGCACGUAAAAAAAAAUAUCGACUGUGUCCUAAGUAUUGUCGGCCUGUGUUUUAACUCACGAGGUUUUUUGUGUGUUAUUUCCAAUUUAUAUUUUUUGGUGUGAGACAACACCGCCAUGUGGCGUCUCUGUUGAAAAGUUAACCUAAAAUCAUAUUAGGCCUACUCAGGUCCUAACAAUAACAAUAUAGGCACUUUCAAGUAUUUUUAUGGGUGUGAUACACGUUUGUUUAUAACGAUGUUUAUAAACUUUAUGAUAGGUUUAACUAUAACAUAAGGGAGUGAUUUUAUAAUUUGCAUUUAAUUAGUUUUUCAUCUGUUUGGGAGAUCACAAAAUAAAUAAAAAAACACUUCAUUAAUUUCGUGGACAAAGUCUGUCAUGUUUCCAUUUAGUGACCACAAAGCAAAUAUUUGUGACAAAAUGCCAUAUUUGGAACACUGCCUAACUGCGUAUUGUGAACGGGUCCCCGGAAAAGUGUUAUGACAAAUGUUUUUUUUUUUUGGUUAGGUACUACAAGAAAGACAUUGAAGAAGUUUCAACACCAGGAAAAAAGAGGAAAAAAAGGCCACAGGAAGGAAAGUCACUUGACACAGUCGACGAUUUCACAGUAAAUGCAAUCAGGAAUGCAAUUUACAGGAUGUACGCUGAAGGUUUGAAUGUUACAGUCGACACCAUUUUGAAAGAAAUCAGGGAAAGACAAAUAGAUUAUUAUGGUGGAAGAUCAAGUCUUCAUAAAUUGUUAAAGAAGAUGGGAUUUUCAUGGACAACUGUUGAUGGACGAAAAGCUUUGAUAGAGAAUUAAAACAUAGUAUUGCAGCGAAUAGAUUUCUUGAGAAAGUAUAAAGAAGAAAAAGAAAGAGGUGCCAAUUUCAUAUUUGUUGAUGAAACAUGGAUUUUCCAGAGAGGCAAGGCAUUAAUUUAUUUGAAAAUUUGUUCUGUGGUCCAAUACAAAGUAUUUCAUUUCCAUUUCAUAUAUUUUUCAGGAACUGUAUCAAAGUCAUGGCAGGACAAGAGUCUACAAUCUGCGAAGAGACGUACUGUUGGAGAUGGUAAAAGGUUUAUUGUUGUUAAUGCUGGAGGGCGCACUGGCUUUGUGCCAGGAGCAGGAUUACUUUUUGUUUCAGGUCAGAAGACUGCAGACUACCAUGGCGAGAUGAAUGGGGAAACUUUCUUGAUGUGGUUUGAAGACAUGUUGGUGCAUCUUGAGGAACCCAGUGUCAUCAUAAUGGACAAUGCUUCAUAUCACAGCACCCAGAUGGGCGAGGUGUGUGGAUCACGUGGAGAAGCUAAUUCAAGCAGACUGGGAGAGAGAAGUCCACAUAGACAGCGGCACCAUUCCUCCACUCAUCAUCCACCUCGGCAAGGAUAGUUCAAGUGAAGACAGUGACAGCGAAGAAUUUGAGGUUACGACACAGCAAGUAGAUGGAGACAGUGAAGUACUGGCAGUUCCUCUUGAUGAUUUACCCGGGUGUUCUUAUUGAGGUCUGUAUGUAAUAAACACCUGGGCAACUGUAAGUAUUGGGGUUUGAAACAUUUUUUUUUCUUUUAUGCAUUCCCAUUAAGUAUGUUGAUU
Molecule: long non-coding RNA, 1659 nt
Organism: Bacillus rossius redtenbacheri
Lineage: Eukaryota; Metazoa; Arthropoda; Insecta; Phasmatodea; Bacillidae
Exons: 3
Source: RefSeq, a predicted model, not a curated record